GCACGUAGUUAGCCGUGGCUUUCUGGUAAGGUACCGUCAGAAUCAGUAUCAUUUCCUCUACUGAUUUUUCUUCCCUUACAACAGAGCUUUACAACCCGAAGGCCUUAAUCACUCACGCGGCGUUGCUCGGUCAGGCUUGCGCCCAUUGCCGAAAAUUCCCUA
RNAcentral lists this ribosomal RNA (162 nucleotides) under uncultured bacterium. RNAcentral's name for it is "partial 16S ribosomal RNA". The record is from RNAcentral.